This 218-nucleotide unclassified non-coding RNA is filed under the name plant metagenome. RNAcentral describes it as "partial contains small subunit ribosomal RNA and internal transcribed spacer 1". The stretch from base 1 to 47 matches the Rfam family "Eukaryotic small subunit ribosomal RNA", at positions 1785 to 1831 of the family's 1831-position model. The record is from RNAcentral.
AAUGUCGUAACAAGGUUUUCGUAGGUGAACCUGCGGAAGGAUCAUUUAGAAAGUCCGGCGCGAGAGCGCCCUACCUUCAAACCACUGUGAACAAACCGUUGCUUCGCGGCGUGCUCCAGGCCCCUAUCAGCGGGGGCCCGCGUUCAGCCGCAGAAGCCACACCAAAAUCCAUUUUCCGUUACAGUCUGUCUGAUACAAAUGAAUUAAACUUCGUUAAA